RNAcentral lists this transfer RNA (68 nucleotides) under Apaloderma vittatum (bar-tailed trogon). It matches the Rfam family "tRNA". From Rfam's summary of the family: Transfer RNA (tRNA) molecules are approximately 80 nucleotides in length. Their secondary structure includes four short double-helical elements and three loops (D, anti-codon, and T loops). The record is from Rfam by way of RNAcentral. Lineage: Eukaryota; Metazoa; Chordata; Aves; Trogoniformes; Trogonidae.
GGCCAGUUAGCUCAGUUGAGCGUAGCGCUAAUAACGCUAAGGUAGCGGGUUCGUUUCCCGUUUGGUCC